AUGCUGGAGGUAUCAGAAGUGCGAAUGCUGACGUGAGUAACGACAAAACGGGUGAAAAACCCGUUCGCCGAAAGACCAAGGGUUCCAGUCCAACGUUAAUCGGGGCUGGGUGAGUCGACCCCUAAGGCGAGGCCGAAAGGCGUAGUCGAUGGGAAAAUGGUUAAUAUUCCAUUACUUCUGUGUAAUGCGAUGAGAGGACGGAGAAGGCUAAAUCAGCCUGGCGUUGGUUGUCCAGGUGAAAGGAUGUAGGCAUGUAUCUUAGGCAAAUCCGGGGUACUCUAUGCUGAGAUCUGAUAGCAAGCUGUACUUGUACAGCGAAGUGGUUGAUGCCAUGCUUCCAGGAAAAGUCUCUAAGCUUCAGUUACACAGGAAUCGUACCCGAAACCGACACAGGUGGUCAGGUCGAGUAGACCAAGGCGCUUGAGAGAACUCUGCUGAAGGAACUAGGCAAAAUGGUACCGUAACUUCGGGAGAAGGUACGCUGUUGUUGGUGAUGGAACUCGCUUCCUGAGCUGACGACAGCCGCAGAAACCAGGCCGCUGCAACUGUUUAUUAAAAACAUAGCACUCUGCAAACACGAAAGUGGACGUAUAGGGUGUGAUGCCUGCCCGGUGCUGGAAGGUUAAUUGAUGGGGUUAGCGUAAGCGAAGCUCUUGAUCGAAGCCCCAGUAAACGGCGGCCGUAACUAUAACGGUCCUAAGGUAGCGAAAUUCCUUGUCGGGUAAGUUCCGACCUGCACGAAUGGCAUAAUGAUGGCGGCGCUGUCUCCAGCAGAGGCUCAGUGAAAUCGAAAUCGCUGUGAAGAUGCAGUGUACCCGCGGCUAGACGGAAAGACCCCGUGAACCUUUACUGCAGCUUGACACUGAACUUUGACCUUACUUGUGUAGGAUAGGUGGGAGGCUUUGAAGCUGGAACGCUAGUUCCAGUGGAGCCGUCCUUGAAAUACCACCCUGGUAAUGUUGAGGUUCUAACUCUGUCCCGUGAUCCGGGACGAGGACCGUGUCUGGUGGGUAGUUUGACUGGGGCGGUCUCCUCCUAAAGAGUAACGGAGGAGUACGAAGGGGCGCUCAGCGUGGUCGGAAAUCACGCGUAGAGUAUAAAGGCAAAAGCGCGCUUAACUGCGAGACCCACAAGUCGAGCAGGUACGAAAGUAGGUCUUAGUGAUCCGGUGGUUCUGUAUGGAAGGGCCAUCGCUCAACGGAUAAAAGGUACUCUGGGGAUAACAGGCUGAUACCGCCCAAGAGUUCAUAUCGACGGCGGUGUUUGGCACCUCGAUGUCGGCUCAUCUCAUCCUGGGGCUGAAGCAGGUCCCAAGGGUAUGGCUGUUCGCCAUUUAAAGAGGUACGCGAGCUGGGUUUAGAACGUCGUGAGACAGUUCGGUCCCUAUCUACCGUGGGCGCUGGAAAUUUGAGAGGAUCUGCUCCUAGUACGAGAGGACCAGAGUGGACGAACCUCUGGUGUACCGGUUGUGACGCCAGUCGCAUCGCCGGGUAGCUAUGUUCGGAAGGGAUAACCGCUGAAAGCAUCUAAGCGGGAAGCCUACCUCAAGAUAAGAUUUCCCUAGGACUUUAUGUCCUCUAAAGAGCCGUUCGAGACUAGGACGUUGAUAGGUUGGAUGUGGAAGCAUAGUGAUAUGUGAAGCUGACCAAUACUAAUUGCUCGUGAGGCUUGACU
RNAcentral lists this ribosomal RNA (1674 nucleotides) under Acinetobacter baumannii. Its description in RNAcentral is "bacterial LSU rRNA". It matches the Rfam family "Bacterial large subunit ribosomal RNA", at positions 1270 to 2925 of the family's 2925-position model. Lineage: Bacteria; Pseudomonadati; Pseudomonadota; Gammaproteobacteria; Moraxellales; Moraxellaceae. The record is from RNAcentral.